GCCACUUCCCCAUGGCCCUGCGCUGUCUUCGCCCUUACCUCAGGGCUUUGUCCCAGCAACCAGCUCAGGGCUCCUUCUCGUUCUCUCUGGACCUGACCCAUGGCUGAACUUUAAAGACUGGUUAGGAAGAGAUGGAAAUGAAUAGAGCUGUGAAAUGCAAGUCUGCAUUGUUAGAGAGAGAAGGGGAGAUGUUUGCUCAGGUCUUGUGAUGUCAGCAAACAAGUCUUGUCUAUUGCUAUAGCUUUGAUUCAAAGAUCAAAAAAGGAAUAUUAACAUUUAGGAAGACACUUGAGUGAAAUAGUAUUAUUGUCUAUGUCUCAUUGAAGGUUGUGAUAACCUGUAUAUGAAGAGCUUCAGAGUAACAGCCAUGUUAGUCUGUAUCCUCAAAAAGAACAGGAG
Molecule: long non-coding RNA, 399 nt
Organism: Dermochelys coriacea (leatherback sea turtle)
Lineage: Eukaryota; Metazoa; Chordata; Testudines; Dermochelyidae
Exons: 3
Source: RefSeq, a predicted model, not a curated record